CCUACGGGAGGCAGCAGUGGGGAAUAUUGGGCAAUGGGCGAAAGCCUGACCCAGCAACGCCGCGUGAAGGAAGAAGGCUUUCGGGUUGUAAACUUCUUUUGAUAGGGAAGAGGAGAAGACGAUAUCUGUCGAAUAAGCCACGGCUAACUAAGUGCCAGCAGCCGCGGUAAUAAGUAGGUGGCAAGCGUUGUCCGGUUUUACUGGGUGUAAAGGGCGUGUAGGCGGGCGGACAAGUCAGAUGUGAAAUCCGGGGGAUCAACCCCCGAACUGCAUUUGAAACUGUUGGUCGUGAGUAUCGGAGAGGCAGGCGGAAUUCCUAGUGUAGCGGUGAAAUGCGUAGAUAUUAGGAGGAACACCAGUGGCGAAGGCGGCCUGCUGGACGACAACUGACGGUGAGGCGCGAAAGCGUGGGGAGCAAACAGGAUUAGAUACCCUAGUAGUC
This 442-nucleotide ribosomal RNA is filed under the name uncultured bacterium. RNAcentral describes it as "partial 16S ribosomal RNA". It matches the Rfam family "Bacterial small subunit ribosomal RNA", at positions 338 to 795 of the family's 1533-position model. The record is from RNAcentral.